This 472-nucleotide ribosomal RNA is filed under the name uncultured bacterium. Its description in RNAcentral is "partial 16S ribosomal RNA". It matches the Rfam family "Bacterial small subunit ribosomal RNA", at positions 28 to 507 of the family's 1533-position model. The record is from RNAcentral.
GAUGAACGCUGGCGGCGUGCCUAAUACAUGCAAGUCGAGCGAACAGAAGAGGAGCUUGCUCCUCUGACGUUAACGGCGGACGGGUGAGUAACACGUGGAUAACCUACCUAUAAAACUGGGAUAACUUCGGGAAACCGGAGCGAAUACCGGAUAAUAUAUUGAACCGAAUGGUUCAUUAGUGAAAGACGGUUUUGCUGCCACUAAGAGAUGGAUCCGCACCGCAUUAGCUAGUUGGUAAGGUAACGGCUUCCCAAAGCGACGAUGGGCAGCCGACCUGAGAGGAUGAGCGGCGACAUUGGGAAGGAGACACGGCGCAAACUCCUACGGGAGGCAGCAGUGGGGGAUAUUGCAAAAUGGGGGGAACCCUGAUGCAGCGACGCCGCUUGAAUGAAGAAGUAUUUCGGUAUGUAAAGCUCUAUCAGCAGGGAAGAUCAUGACAGUACCUGAAUAAGAAGCCCCGGCUAACUACGUG